GAUGAACGCUGGCGGCGUGCCUAAUACAUGCAAGUCGAGCGAACAGAUAAGGAGCUUGCUCCUUUGACGUUAGCGGCGGACGGGUGAGUAACACGUGGAUAACCUACCUAUAAGACUGGGAUAACUUCGGGAAACCGGAGCUAAUACCGGAUAACAUAUUGAACCGCAUGGUUCAAUAGUGAAAGGCGGCUUUGCUGUCACUUAUAGAUGGAUCCGCGCCGUAUUAGCUAGUUGGUAAGGUAACGGCUUACCAAGGCAACGAUACGUAGCCGACCUGAGAGGGUGAUCGGCCACACUGGAACGGGGACACGGUCCAGACUCCUACGGGAGGCAGCAGUAGGGAAUCUUCCGCAAUGGGCGAAAGCCUGACGGAGCAACGCCGCGUGAGUGAUGAAGGUCUUCGGAUCGUAAAACUCUGUUAUCAGGGAAGAACAAAUGUGUAAGUAACUGUGCACAUCGUGACGGUACCUGAUCAGAAAGCCACGGCUAACUACGUG
RNAcentral lists this ribosomal RNA (497 nucleotides) under uncultured bacterium. RNAcentral describes it as "partial 16S ribosomal RNA". It matches the Rfam family "Bacterial small subunit ribosomal RNA", at positions 28 to 507 of the family's 1533-position model. The record is from RNAcentral.